Molecule: unclassified non-coding RNA, 196 nt
Filed under: Diversispora epigaea
Lineage: Eukaryota; Fungi; Glomeromycota; Glomeromycetes; Diversisporales; Diversisporaceae
Description: partial internal transcribed spacer 2
Source: RNAcentral
AAAUAACAUUCGUGAUUUUUUUCGCGCAUUUGAGUUUUCCAGUAUUUAUAAAUAAAUGCUGGUAACUUUAAAAUUAUUUAUAACUUGGUACAAGUUGAAAACGUGCUAUAUGUGUGGUUCGCUGACAACUUGUCCAUCUUUAUAUAUUAUGCGCGUGCUUGGUUUUUUUAAAGCUGUGUGCGAGUAUAUAUUUUUU